This 299-nucleotide unclassified non-coding RNA is filed under the name plant metagenome. RNAcentral describes it as "partial contains 5.8S ribosomal RNA, internal transcribed spacer 2, and large subunit ribosomal RNA". The stretch from base 1 to 105 matches the Rfam family "5.8S ribosomal RNA", at positions 50 to 154 of the family's 154-position model. The record is from RNAcentral.
GAAAUGCGAUAAGUAAUGUGAAUUGCAGAAUUCAGUGAAUCAUCGAAUCUUUGAACGCACAUUGCGCCCCCUGGUAUUCCGGGGGGCAUGCCUGUUCGAGCGUCAUUUCACCACUCAAGCCUCGCUUGGUAUUGGGCGACGCGGUCCGCCGCGCGCCUCAAAUCGACCGGCUGGGUCUUUCGUCCCCUCAGCGUUGUGGAAACUAUUCGCUAUAGGGUGCCGCGGGAGGCCACGCCGUAAAACAACCCCAUUUCUAAGGUUGACCUCGGAUCAGGUAGGGAUACCCGCUGAACUUAAGC